GGCUUAAUGCUAUAGCUCAGGUGGUAAGAGCGCUGGUCUAGCAAUCCAGAGGUCUCGGGUUCGAAUCCCGAUGGAGCCC
This 79-nucleotide transfer RNA is filed under the name Lytechinus variegatus (green sea urchin). RNAcentral's name for it is "tRNA-Ala". The stretch from base 10 to 74 matches the Rfam family "tRNA", at positions 5 to 66 of the family's 71-position model. Rfam says of the family: Transfer RNA (tRNA) molecules are approximately 80 nucleotides in length. Lineage: Eukaryota; Metazoa; Echinodermata; Echinoidea; Temnopleuroida; Toxopneustidae. The record is from RNAcentral.